AGGGCAUCCCAGGAAACAAUGGCUUGCCGGGACAUCCUGGGCCAUCAGGUGAAAUGAAUCUGCAACCAGUAGAGGGCCCUGCUGUAAAAAAGGUACCCCUCUGUGGAGACUGCAGCUCCCAAAGCAAUAAUGGGAUAAAAGGAGAAAAGGGAGAUCAGGGACAACCUGGAGCUCCAGGAAUAAAUAAUUGU
This is a non-coding RNA of Thamnophis sirtalis, 191 nucleotides long. The record is from RefSeq and is a predicted model, not a curated record. Lineage: Eukaryota; Metazoa; Chordata; Lepidosauria; Squamata; Natricidae.